Molecule: microRNA precursor, 59 nt
Filed under: Drosophila melanogaster (fruit fly)
Lineage: Eukaryota; Metazoa; Arthropoda; Insecta; Diptera; Drosophilidae
Description: Dme-Mir-961_pre stem-loop
Source: RNAcentral
UUUGAUCACCAGUAACUGAGAUUGUUUCUGAUACGGUUUCGUUUUCUGGCAAUCAAAAG